AUGCAUAGGUUUUGGAGGUGCCCGCAUGCAAUUGAGUUUUGGAGGUGCCUGCGUGAGGCUGUCGCUGCCCCGCUGCCAUGCCUUUCGGUGCAAGUUCAUGACCCUGCGGCCUUACGUGCAUGGCUCAUGGAUUGGCUUAGCUCCGCAGGGUCUGAAGAAAAGGAAAUUGUGAUUAGGAGUUGGUACGAGCUAUGGACUAUGAGGAAUGAAGCAAAGGAAACAUGCAGAAUGAAAGACCGGAAAGGUGUGACUACUCCCGGGUGUACUCACACCCAUUAUCUCAAUCAUCCAAUUUUUCCCUUCCGCAGAAUGAAAGACCCAGGAAGUAUAUGUGAACGAGUGCUUCGGCUUACUGCUGAAUGGAAGUCUGUGCGUGAGAAAAUACCUCAACAGAGAGAAAGAAACGCAUUGGAGCGAUGGAAAAAGCCAGCUGAAGGAUGGAUAAAAGCUAAUGCUGAUGGUGUUAUGGCAAAGCACCAAGAAUCAGGAGGGGGAGUUGCCGUCCUUAGGAACCACCAUAGCAAGUUCAUUGCGGGAGCAUGCCAUUUUUUCCCUUCCGCUCACGAUGCCGAGGUGGCGGAGCUGAUGGCGUGUCAACGGGCCCUUGUUCUAACCAAAGGAAUUAACGCCCGGACGGACUCCCAAUUGGUGGACUUGAUUUCACAAACAGAACCCAGUAGUGGAGAGCAACUAGGCCGCCAAAAGUUUAUUGGUGGUGGUGCUUCACCUUUAUCUCCCGGACGAGGUGGGAAGGCUUUGGCUCCAUCUACAGGAACAGAUAGAGGCGAUGAUAAUUUGGCUCCAGUGCUACCACUCAGACAUGAUUGCAAGGAAACAAAGGCAUAUGGCCCGCCAUGUCGUGACGUUCAUCCAAUUAUCCACAACUCCACAUCUAUAUCUAUAUCUAUAUCUAUAUCUAUACCUAUUGAACAUAUAAACCCUGAAGAACUCCUAGGCACAACGAAGCCAGCCACGUCGCCUUUAAAUCGCUUCGUGCCACCACUUGUAAAUUUUGUGCCCCGCCAAGGGCAUUUUAGUCUUUUUAUGUGUAGGGGUAUAAAUAGAAAACGCUGCCAUGGAGAAACCCUCGCCGCUGCCAGUCGCCUCCCCCUCAGCCGCCUCCUCUCCCCCACGCCGCCCUUCCUCUUCCCGCUCGUCUCCUCCUCUCCUCUUCCCUCUCCGACCAGGGCCAGAGCCUCGCCGGCCGCUCCCCCCAGCCAAUGUCCCUCUCCAGAUGCAUCCUCCCCGAGAUCCAGGUACGGAGAGAGUCAUGGUGGCAGGGGCAGAUGCGUGAGGAGGAGGAGGCCGUGGUCAUGGUGGCGCGACGAAGGUCGUGCCUUGCCCCCCGCCGCCUCUCUCGCGUCCCUCUUUUCCCUGCCCCUCCCCGGCGUCCUUGCCUUUGCCAUGGACUCCACCAUCCCUCUCCAUCUUCGGGGGUCGCUGCACGCCAUGAUUCCAGAUUGGUCGCAGGUCGAGAAGGAGCGGUUGCUGCAUGUUUGGGUUGCACUUGAUUCCUACACUGAGUUUCAGUGGUGGCAUGGUGUCCAUCUCCAGGCCGGUUGCAACCUUCUGCCCCCAUCAUUCCCUGCCGAUGACACGGGGAAGGAGCUACAGGGGAGGGGGAGGAGGCCGACGUCAGGGGGAAGGAGCAGGCCGAUGUUGGUAUUUUCAUCCAUAAAAAACCAUGAAGUUGUAUGUGCAUUUCCUGCUAUGCAUCUCUGCCGAUAUUUGAUUGAUGCACCUUUUUCUGUAUGCCCAGUUUUGCGCCCCGUGUGUUGUUCAGGUGUUGAGGGCCAUUUUCCUUAUGUAGGCUCGGAUGCAUGGUGCGAGGCAGUAAUAGCGGCAGUGGAUCGAGAGAAGUGGAGAAGAGGGUUCCUCCAAGCUCCAUCCAUGAAUGACGCCGUUGAAGAAUCAUCCCUCUACUGUCUUCUCGAAGGGUGGCAUGCGGCAAUGUCUGGGACCAGCGAGGAAGAUGACCGGUGUACAUCCUUUGGUAUAAAGUUGAAUUACAUACUUCCCUACUUCUCUUGGGUUAUGAGGGUGAUCUUAUAUGUGUUGCACUGGUCAGGACAUGGUGAGUCUUGUGGCGCGAAGCCAACAACACGCAGCGGCAAGUCGAGCACACUGGCCUGA
Molecule: ribosomal RNA, 2133 nt
Filed under: Triticum aestivum (bread wheat)
Lineage: Eukaryota; Viridiplantae; Streptophyta; Magnoliopsida; Poales; Poaceae
Description: partial small subunit ribosomal RNA
Source: RNAcentral